AACGAACGCUGGCGGCGUGCCUAAUACAUGCAAGUCGAGCGAGAAAGCCUCUUCGGAGGUGAGUAAAGCGGCGCACGGGUGAGUAACACGUGGGCAACCUACCCUUGAGUCUGGGAUAACCCGGGGAAACUCGGGCUAAUACCAGAUACGGCUGCGGGGUCUUCGGAUCCUGUGGAGAAAGAUGGCCUCUUCUUGAAAGCUAUCUCUCGAGGAUGGGCCCGCGUCCUAUUAGCAGUUGGUGAGGUAACGGCUCACCAAGGCAAAGAUGGGUAGCUGGUCUGAGAGGAUGGCCAGCCACACUGGAACUGAGACACGGUCCAGACUCCUACGGGAGGCAGCAGUGAGGAAUAUUGCGCAAAU
Molecule: ribosomal RNA, 360 nt
Filed under: uncultured bacterium
Lineage: Bacteria
Description: bacterial SSU rRNA
Rfam family: Bacterial small subunit ribosomal RNA
Source: RNAcentral